Molecule: ribosomal RNA, 836 nt
Filed under: Janthinobacterium lividum
Lineage: Bacteria; Pseudomonadati; Pseudomonadota; Betaproteobacteria; Burkholderiales; Oxalobacteraceae
Description: bacterial SSU rRNA
Rfam family: Bacterial small subunit ribosomal RNA
Source: RNAcentral
GGCAGCACGGAGCUUGCUCUGGUGGCGAGUGGCGAACGGGUGAGUAAUAUAUCGGAACGUACCCUAGAGUGGGGGAUAACGUAGCGAAAGUUACGCUAAUACCGCAUACGAUCUAAGGAUGAAAGUGGGGGAUCGCAAGACCUCAUGCUCGUGGAGCGGCCGAUAUCUGAUUAGCUAGUUGGUAGGGUAAAAGCCUACCAAGGCAUCGAUCAGUAGCUGGUCUGAGAGGACGACCAGCCACACUGGAACUGAGACACGGUCCAGACUCCUACGGGAGGCAGCAGUGGGGAAUUUUGGACAAUGGGCGAAAGCCUGAUCCAGCAAUGCCGCGUGAGUGAAGAAGGCCUUCGGGUUGUAAAGCUCUUUUGUCAGGGAAGAAACGGUGAGAGCUAAUAUCUUUUGCUAAUGACGGUACCUGAAGAAUAAGCACCGGCUAACUACGUGCCAGCAGCCGCGGUAAUACGUAGGGUGCAAGCGUUAAUCGGAAUUACUGGGCGUAAAGCGUGCGCAGGCGGUUUUGUAAGUCUGAUGUGAAAUCCCCGGGCUCAACCUGGGAAUUGCAUUGGAGACUGCAAGGCUAGAAUCUGGCAGAGGGGGGUAGAAUUCCACGUGUAGCAGUGAAAUGCGUAGAUAUGUGGAGGAACACCGAUGGCGAAGGCAGCCCCCUGGGUCAAGAUUGACGCUCAUGCACGAAAGCGUGGGGAGCAAACAGGAUUAGAUACCCUGGUAGUCCACGCCCUAAACGAUGUCUACUAGUUGUCGGGUCUUAAUUGACUUGGUAACGCAGCUAACGCGUGAAGUAGACCGCCUGGGGGAGUACGGUCGCAAGAUUAAAA